Molecule: long non-coding RNA, 905 nt
Organism: Anguilla rostrata (American eel)
Lineage: Eukaryota; Metazoa; Chordata; Actinopteri; Anguilliformes; Anguillidae
Exons: 3
Source: RefSeq, a predicted model, not a curated record
AUGUAUUUGAUCUGCACCAGGAGAGUGCUAAAUAUUGUGAGCAUAUUUUUGAUGUAUAUUAGAAAAGUUGCUUAAAUAUAUAUUUUGAUGUGUGUAUUUUUGACAUGUGUUAGGAUAGUUGCUGUUAUAAACAUGUUGUUUUUAACUUGUAUUAGAAGACUGUUAAGUGAGUGAUAACUUUCUGUGACGCAAAUUAAUGUACAAUUUGACACAUGACGUGACGUAGAUAGAUAAGGAGAGUAUAAAAACUGGCGCUGUAGAUUACUCAGUGUCGUGUGUGUGGAUUGGAGGCAGCCAAUGCAUUGCAGAACGCGACCCUGGCGACGAGUGGACUUAGAAGCCGUAGGUAGCUAGUCUUAAAGCAAACGCCAAGCUAAAGGUAGCCAUCUGAGGCGAGCCCAAGACGCGGACGGUAGCCAGCCCCGACGCAAACAAAGAAAGUCAACGCCAGCUGCACAUUUUAUCAAGGCAACCUUCAGAGACAGGGGUCCGUGGGGUGGAUCUCGAAACGAGAUGAUGAAAGAGAACAUGAUUUCUCGACGAUGAACAGGGUGAAAACAGACCUCCGAAACCAGCUUCAAGGAGAACACCUGGCCACCUGCUUUAGGAUCUCCAUCUCCCGUCCCGAGGCCUUCCCAUAUGAUAGGGCAUUGGAAUAUUUUUUCAGAAAGCCCCGCAAAAUAAGAUGCUCAAACAAAGGGUGCAAACUUUGCAACAAGUAGGCUGUGGAGCACUCACUGUAUAUAUUUUUUCAGUAAUUUGACACAAAGUGUUGGCAAUAGAGCACUGUAUAUAUUUUGUUAUUUAUUUGACACAACGUGAAGCAAUGGAGCUGUAUAUAUUGUUCAGUUAUUUAUUUGUCACAAAGUACUUGGCAAUUAAAAUAUUUGCAGUAGAGCACCUUA